CACGUAGGCUGUUUGGUAAGUCAGGGGUGAAAUCCCGCGGCUCAACCGCGGAAUUGCCCUUGAUACUGCUGGACUUGAGUCCGGGAGAGGGUGGCGGAACUCCAGGUGUAGGAGUGAAAUCCGUAGAUAUCUGGAGGAACAUCAGUGGCGAAGGCGGCCACCUGGACCGGUACUGACGCUGAGGUGCGAAAGCGUGGGGAGCAAACA
This 207-nucleotide ribosomal RNA is filed under the name uncultured bacterium. RNAcentral's name for it is "partial 16S ribosomal RNA". It matches the Rfam family "Bacterial small subunit ribosomal RNA", at positions 568 to 774 of the family's 1533-position model. The record is from RNAcentral.